RNAcentral lists this ribosomal RNA (478 nucleotides) under Segatella oris. RNAcentral describes it as "bacterial SSU rRNA". It matches the Rfam family "Bacterial small subunit ribosomal RNA", at positions 28 to 494 of the family's 1533-position model. The record is from RNAcentral. Lineage: Bacteria; Pseudomonadati; Bacteroidota; Bacteroidia; Bacteroidales; Prevotellaceae.
GAUGAACGCUGGCUACAGGCUUAACACAUGCAAGUCGAGGGGAAACGACGGGGAAGCUUGCUUCCCCGGGCGUCGACCGGCGCACGGGUGAGUAACGCGUAUCCAACCUGCCUCUGACUGAGGGAUAACCCGUCGAAAGUCGGCCUAAUACCUCAUGGUAUCGUCUGCGGGCAUCCAACGACGAUUAAAGAUUUCAUCGGUCAGGGAUGGGGAUGCGUCUGAUUAGCUUGUUGGCGGGGUAACGGCCCACCAAGGCUACGAUCAGUAGGGGUUCUGAGAGGAAGGUCCCCCACAUUGGAACUGAGACACGGUCCAAACUCCUACGGGAGGCAGCAGUGAGGAAUAUUGGUCAAUGGGCGAGAGCCUGAACCAGCCAAGUAGCGUGCAGGAAGACGGCCCUAUGGGUUGUAAACUGCUUUUAUGCGGGGAUAAAGUGAGGGACGUGUCCCUCAUUGCAGGUACCGCAUGAAUAAGACCG